Branchiostoma belcheri (Belcher's lancelet) is the source of this 517-nucleotide long non-coding RNA. RefSeq lists it as uncharacterized. Lineage: Eukaryota; Metazoa; Chordata; Leptocardii; Amphioxiformes; Branchiostomatidae. The record is from RefSeq and is a predicted model, not a curated record. The transcript is spliced from 4 exons.
UAUCGUACUUUUCGUUCCCAAAAGCUGCCCGGCCGGGCCCCGUGUGGCAGCUCCUGGCAGCCACUUUAGUUGUACGAAUCGCAUGAGAGUGAAUCGACUGCUAUAUUCUAUACCGUGAUAAACAACAACCGGGAUCUUCCGGAUCGGACUCUGGUGUUGCUACAUCAAAAACGUUUUUAUCCUCCAGGUUACAACAGGGUGACUCCUGGGUUGCAUACUACUUCUAGUGACCAACAUCACAACAGUGCCAACAGUAGUCAAUAGAGUUGGACAAGACUACGGACAGCAAAUGGCGGAGCAGUCAGAGCUGGCUUUGUAUGAGACAAAGUUUCAGAACAGGUUUACUGAGGAAGACCCAGUGUUCAUGGCUUAUCAACAGAAACAGUCACCAUCACCACCAAUAGUAGACAACUGGGCCUCACGAUCAAGGAGGAACUUUCAUGACAGAUCCCAGAUGGGAGGCAGAAAUGAGGGAUGGAGAGGAAGAAAUGAGGGAUGGAGAGGAGGAAGAAGUGAG